GCACUCUUGUGCGUAGCCACCUCCCCUCUGCUAGAGGCCCUGGCUGAAUCCAAGAGGAACAGCAAAGGCUGUGCCUCCAACCAACUGUGGAAAUUCAGCCAUGUGGUUGAGUUACUUUUUUUUCUCUGAAACUUAUAGCAGUCAAUAAAUUUUCAAACUCGAAGAGCCCCCAAUUCCCAGACUUAUUUGAAUCCCCAAAGACACUUCUGGAGACAUUCUCUUCACAGAAAAUAAG
This 235-nucleotide long non-coding RNA is filed under the name Homo sapiens (human). RNAcentral describes it as "LHRI_LNC252.1". The record is from RNAcentral. Lineage: Eukaryota; Metazoa; Chordata; Mammalia; Primates; Hominidae.